This 253-nucleotide ribosomal RNA is filed under the name uncultured bacterium. RNAcentral's name for it is "partial 16S ribosomal RNA". It matches the Rfam family "Bacterial small subunit ribosomal RNA", at positions 524 to 776 of the family's 1533-position model. The record is from RNAcentral.
UACGUAGGGGGCGAGCGUUGUCCGGAAUCAUUGGGCGUAAAGCGCGCGCAGGCGGUCCCUUAAGUCUGAUGUGAAAUCUUGCGGCUCAACCGCAAGAGGUCAUUGGAAACUGGGGGACUUGAGUGCAGGAGAGGGAAGCGGAAUUCCAUGUGUAGCGGUGAAAUGCGUAGAGAUAUGGAGGAACACCAGUGGCGAAGGCGGCUUCCUGGCCUGUAACUGACGCUCAGGCGCGAAAGCGUGGGGAGCAAACAGG